GCUUGCUACCUGACCUAGCGGCGGACGGGUGAGUAAUGCUUAGGAAUCUGCCUGUUAGUGGGGGACAACAUUCCGAAAGGAAUGCUAAUACCGCAUACGCCCUACGGGGGAAAGCAGGGGAUCUUCGGACCUUGCGCUAAUAGAUGAGCCUAAGUCAGAUUAGCUAGUUGGUGGGGUAAAGGCCUACCAAGGCGACGAUCUGUAGCGGGUCUGAGAGGAUGAUCCGCCACACUGGGACUGAGACACGGCCCAGACUCCUACGGGAGGCAGCAGUGGGGAAUAUUGGACAAUGGGCGAAAGCCUGAUCCAGCCAUGCCGCGUGUGUGAAGAAGGCCUUUUGGUUGUAAAGCACUUUAAGCGAGGAGGAGGCUACUUGGAUUAAUACUCUAGGAUAGUGGACGUUACUCGCAGAAUAAGCACCGGCUAACUCUGUGCCAGCAGCCGCGGUAAUACAGAGGGUGCGAGCGUUAAUCGGAUUUACUGGGCGUAAAGCGUGCGUAGGCGGCUUUUUAAGUCGGAUGUGAAAUCCCUGAGCUUAACUUAGGAAUUGCAUUCGAUACUGGGAAGCUAGAGUAUGGGAGAGGAUGGUAGAAUUCCAGGUGUAGCGGUGAAAUGCGUAGAGAUCUGGAGGAAUACCGAUGGCGAAGGCAGCCAUCUGGCCUAAUACUGACGCUGAGGUACGAAAGCAUGGGGAGCAAACAGGAUUAGAUACCCUGGUAGUCCAUGCCGUAAACGAUGUCUACUAGCCGUUGGGGCCUUUGAGGCUUUAGUGGCGCAGCUAACGCGAUAAGUAGACCGCCUGGGGAGUACGGUCGCAAGACUAAAACUCAAAUGAAUUGACGGGGGCCCGCACAAGCGGUGGAGCAUGUGGUUUAAUUCGAUGCAACGCGAAGAACCUUACCUGGUCUUGACAUAGUAAGAACUUUCCAGAGAUGGAUUGGUGCCUUCGGGAACUUACAUACAGGUGCUGCAUGGCUGUCGUCAGCUCGUGUCGUGAGAUGUUGGGUUAAGUCCCGCAACGAGCGCAACCCUUUUCCUUAUUUGCCAGCGGGUUAAGCCGGGAACUUUAAGGAUACUGCCAGUGACAAACUGGAGGAAGGCGGGGACGACGUCAAGUCAUCAUGGCCCUUACGACCAGGGCUACACACGUGCUACAAUGGUCGGUACAAAGGGUUGCUACCUAGCGAUAGGAUGCUAAUCUCAAAAAGCCGAUCGUAGUCCGGAUUGGAGUCUGCAACUCGACUCCAUGAAGUCG
RNAcentral lists this ribosomal RNA (1255 nucleotides) under uncultured Acinetobacter sp. RNAcentral's name for it is "bacterial SSU rRNA". It matches the Rfam family "Bacterial small subunit ribosomal RNA", at positions 78 to 1328 of the family's 1533-position model. The record is from RNAcentral. Lineage: Bacteria; Pseudomonadati; Pseudomonadota; Gammaproteobacteria; Moraxellales; Moraxellaceae.